AUGUCGAUCCUGACCUUCUCUUUUGAAGGUAUCGACUUCCUUGUUAAAUGUCGACGCCUAUCCCCUUUUCCUGGGAAUGUCGAACAUGCUUUCCUGCGGAAUGUCGACCUGACCUUCUCUUUUGAAGGUAUCGACUUCCUUGUUAAAUGUCGACGCCUAUCCCCUUUUCCUGGGAAUGUCGAACAUGCUUUCCUGCGGAAUGUCGACCUGACCUUCUCUUUUGAAGGUUUCGACUUCCUUGUUAAAUGUCGACGCCUAUCCCCUUUUCCUGGGAAUGUCGAACAUGCUUUCCUGUGGAAUGUCGAAGGUUUUUCUGAAAUGUCGAGGGAUCUUCUUGAAAUGUCGAUGCCAUUUAGUUGGGUUUUGGGGUUUUUCACGGACUGGACCGUCGUGGGCCUGCCGGGCACGUGGGCUUCUCGGCCCAACGGGUCGACCCGGAUGAACAGUGCUCGCGACGGUUCGUAUUCGACUUUCCCCUAUAAAUAGCGGAGGGGUGUUCACUUCCUCUCCACUUGUUUCCAUCGCUCUGAGGCAUCGACUUUCUUCACAUCGACUUCUUCGCUUCGACUUCCAGCUUCUUCGCUUCGACUUCCAGCGUGCGUGAGGCUUCGACUUUAGCCUUGGAGGUGCAGCUUUCUGGGGUCCGACUUUUGUUAUCGGGCUCUACCGAGGCUGCACUGGGUUCGACUUCCU
This 693-nucleotide long non-coding RNA is filed under the name Zostera marina. RNAcentral describes it as "long non-coding RNA (ZMAR_LNC005009)". Lineage: Eukaryota; Viridiplantae; Streptophyta; Magnoliopsida; Alismatales; Zosteraceae. The record is from RNAcentral.